AAGCAUCGGCUAACUCCAAAACCAGCAGCCGCGGUAAUACGGAGGAUGCGAGCGUUAUCCGGAUUUAUUGGGUUUAAAGGGUGCGUAGGCGGGCUUUUAAGUCAGCGGUAAAAAUUCGGGGCUCAACCCCGUCCGGCCGUUGAAACUGGGGGCCUUGAGUGGGCGAGAAGAAGGCGGAAUGCGUGGUGUAGCGGUGAAAUGCAUAGAUCUUAUGAAGGCCCCGGAUUGGGAGGGCAGCCUUCCGGCGCCCUACUGACGUUGGGGCACGAAAGUGCGGGGAUCGAACAGGAUUAGAUACCCUGGUAGUCCGCACAGUAAACGAUGGAUGCCAGCUGUCCGGGCCGAAUGGGGCCUGGGUGGCAAAGCGAAAGCGUUAAGCAUCCCACCUGGGGAGUACGCCGGCAACGGUGAAACUCAAAGGAAUUGACGGGGGCCCGCACAAGCGGAGGAACAUGUGGUUUAAUUCGAUGAUACGCGAGGAACCUUACCCGGGCUCAAACGCGUCAGGGAUCCCCUCUGAAAGGAGGGGAGUCAGCAAUGACCUGGCGCGAGGUGCUGCAUGGUUGUCGUCAGCUCGUGCCGUGAGGUGUCGGCUUAAGUGCCAUAACGAGCGCAACCCCUACCGACAGUUGCUAACUGGUGAAGCAGAGGACUCUGUCGGGACUGCCGGCGCAAGCUGCGAGGAAGGCGGGGAUGACGUCAAAUCAGCACGGCCCUUACGUCCGGGGCGACACACGUGUUACAAUGGCAGGUACAGCGGGAAGCCACCGGGCGACCGGGCGCGGAACCCGAAAACCUGUCUCAGUUCGGAUCGGAGUCUGCAACCCGACUCCGUGAAGCUGGAUUCGCUAGUAAUCGCGCAUCAGCCACG
This 871-nucleotide ribosomal RNA is filed under the name uncultured bacterium. Its description in RNAcentral is "bacterial SSU rRNA". It matches the Rfam family "Bacterial small subunit ribosomal RNA", at positions 488 to 1356 of the family's 1533-position model. The record is from RNAcentral.